Long non-coding RNA from Apis cerana (Asiatic honeybee), 15009 nucleotides. RefSeq lists it as uncharacterized. The record is from RefSeq and is a predicted model, not a curated record. Lineage: Eukaryota; Metazoa; Arthropoda; Insecta; Hymenoptera; Apidae.
CUCACCGCAAACUUCAAGCCCCUUGUACACGUCGUCCUACGAAACAGAAACAACGAUCCUUUCGUAACAAGAGAAAUCACAAUAACGUACUUUGUGAUUAACGAAUUUGUACAAUCUUUGAAUCUUGACACACGAAAACACACUGAGGUGGAUUUCGAAGAAAAUCGUGAAAUACGAACAACGCGAAGAAAGGACGCGACAGUCACGCGGUAUCAAAGGAAACGUCCUCGUUUCGAAGCGCGCGAACAACGCUCCAUGGUUCUUCGGUCUGUGGUACUGGAUCCUUACUCUACUCUCUCGAUACAAACCGCACGACAGAACGAACAAAACUGGCACGAGAGUCGGGCCACGAGAGAGACCGGGCCUCUCUGCUCUCGGAGAGGAAAGGUGGCCAAUUAGCCGUUACUCGGCGCACAUGCCUUACCAACUAUCCGGCGCAGCUGCAGCGCCGCUACACGCUUCUCGGGAAUCGCAUUCAUAAACGAUGCAGCAGUAACGUCGCACCGCCGCGCAUCGUUGAGCUUCCAGAAGAUUCACAUUUCGUUUUUUUUUCUUUUCUUCUAUUUUGUUUUAAUCUGUUUUUGUCUCUCGCUUCUUGGAUUUAAACGAACGUAAAUACUACAAAUAUAUAUAUAUAUAUAUAUAUAUAUAUAUAUAUGUAUUUCGUAUGCUUUGUUUGGCGCGCGAGUUUCGAACGUGUUGCUGGCAAAUAAAUGAGGAACAGUGUAAAAAUUCUUGGGAAGAACGGAAAAUUCCAGACCGAUCAAUAUCUCGAAUUUCACGAGCAGGAAUAAUAAACAUAUGUACGAUCUUAACCGUAAAGAUUCUUCUACCAAUUUCUCCUUCUCCCUCUUGUCACGAGACGAGAAAGAAAAAAAUCCAGCAAUGAGUUCCACUAAAUUACACAGAGAUGCGAUAAUGGUAACGGAGGUAACGAGAGAAACAACGAGAGAUGGCGGUAGAGAAGUAAAAACUGAAACGAUUUUAUCGAAACGUAUCCUGCGCGCGCAGGUUUCUUCCGCUUUCGCGACAAAGCGCAAGUGCGCGCGCCGCGGAAACCGGCGUAAUAAUUGGAGAACGAGAAGAUGUACGGCCGACCGAGUACCGCUAUUCCGGCUGACCGGAAUCACUGCUCUGGAACACCACGGUCUUCUCUCCCUCUCUUCUUUCUCCUCUUCAAUCUCGAAAACCUGCGCGUCAACGUGCUCGCAGGAGAACACGUGCUACUGACUAACACCUGUUCCAUGGCUCGAGCGCUUUUUCUUCCAGUGGAUUAUCAAUCCUUGAUCCUGACUCGAGAAUUAAGUAAUUAAUUUAUUGUUUUCUAAUGUUUUUUCGCGAUUUCCUUUCUUUCUCUCUCUUAUGCAAGGUAAGAAAAAUUUAACAAACUAACGUGCGUUUAAUAACCUUUGAGUAGUUGCCGAAUAUAAUCCUGAUAUUCUUGGAAUAUGAUUAAAUGUUAAAAAUAACAACAUUUUUGGAUUGUGAUGCCUAUAAACUGAGAACCAUUAAAUUAAUCUAAUCGUACACUUGAAAUAUUGAAAAUGUGUUUUAUGAGGUCGGUGAUAGAGAGCGGAAAUUCCGGAAUGGAAAUAAUUUCAAAGAUAAAACUUCCGUUUUAUAGCCGGUACGAAGGUUGACAGAAAUAGAAUGGUUCAUGCUUCGAUACUUUAUGACUCCUUUGUAAUUUGUAUAAAUUUGCAAUGUCAUGUAAUGACACAAGGGAUAACUUAAUUUUACACUCGAGUUUGAAAGCCUUUAUGUUAAGGUUUUUCCAUUAUUUUAACAAUUUAAAUAUUUAAUGAAACAAUGAAACACGUAUAUUUACUAUUUCUAUUAUAACAAUACAAUUUGGACAACUACUUACACAUUUAAGAAAUACACAAUAACCGAGCAUCAAACAAAUGAACGUUUUGCCAUUCCUUGCGCAUACUUUUCCUUAUCUGCAUGAUUUAUCGACAAAUUUAAUUUACCACCGGCACGUGACCAUUAUUCACCUCGUAACAAGCGGUACUCCACGACAUAAGGUAUACUGAAACGCAAAAUGGUCAGUUACGAAGAGGACAAUGGAAGCCUUACGAGGAACACCAUGAAGAAAGGAAGGGACAUCGUGAAGAUAUUUUGGCUGUAGUUUAUGUACAUUUCUCUCGAUUCCUUAAGGCAACAUGAGGUCAAUAAUUCCUCUGUUAUGAUACAUAUAUAUCUGAUGAACUCACCCUCUAUACACUAAGGUACUCAUCCAAUGGCAUGGAAAUGCUAAUUCAAUUGGAGAAACAUAUUUAUGAGAAAUUCAUUAUGCUGGCUUAUAUUUAAAUUUCCUAUUAUAUUAGUAGAUAUAAAGAGUAUUUGUAUAUAACUUUAUUUUUUAAUUAAACGUUUGAAUUGAAGUAUUACUAAAUGAUAAUUAAUUAGUAUACAAAUAUUACAAAAGAUUGAUUCUAGAGGUCAAAAUAAGCACAAAUAUUGAAAUUUAUUUAUUAAAUUAUAAGCAAAGAUAAAAUGAGAUAACUCUUCAUCACUGUCUUCAUUCUUGUCUCUAAUGCAAAUUUCUAUUGUUUAAUAAAUUUUAACUUACAUUUUUGUUUUGAUGUUCUAAGAAUAUUUUCUAAACAGUGAUGUAUAAUACUUCUUCAGAUUAAAUAGCUUUCUUGAUGUAUGAUCAAUAAUUAUCUUUGCUAAAAGAAUUUUUUAACAAACUGAAAAAAAGUAGAAGCAUUUUAAUUUGCAAUUUUGCAUAAAUAAUACGCGAGAUAUUUGAUACAUUUUAUUUACAACUGAAUAUGAUAACAAUUAAAGACUUCAAAAUCUAUUCAUAAAUGGUAAAUGAAUUUACAUUUAUUAAAAUCCAUUGUUCAGGUUUAUCAUAGGCAGACGAUAAAUAUGUAACAAGCGUGACACAAAUAACCUAUAACCCAAUAUGAAUAAACAUAAAUACAAUCAAUGUCUAGAAUGCCGGUGUAACCAGUCUUAAGGGACAAUACGAACGGCGAAUGAGUCAAUCAACGAAUAAAAUUUCGAUGGAAACGAAGGCCUGGAAGAAGGAAAACUUAUCUAAAUGAGGUCCGGCUCAGCUUCAACAAGGAACUGCGACAAGUUUCGCUGGGCCCAUAAGAAAAAAGCAGAGAAUGUCGAAGGCCUUGUUAACAGGAUCUACGCGUAUUCAUUUCUGCCAUAUCAUUUUCAACCUUCGAUUACGUCUCGACAUAGUUACUAUUCCAAUCGUCUUCUCAUCCUAUCUUUUGACACAGAUUAAUAUACACCAAUUCAAUCAAAGUGAUUACCAUUUGGGUGACGAUUUUAAAAAAUACAUAUAACUUAUUGCUCCUUUUUAACUAAAAAGCUUUCCUUUAAAUACAUUGAAAUAUCUUAUUUGUUCUUUGUAAUAUUAUCUUCUCUUUCUUUUCUAGAUUAAUAGUGAAAAUUAAUCAAUUUGUAUUAAUAGUUUUUGAUUUUAAAAAAUAAAAUUUGAAAUAUAUCAAUUUAAAAUAUAUUUUUUAUUAAAAUUCUAAUUUUCCCAAAAAUUGGCUUAACAAAAAAUAAUAAAAAUUUAUUUAAACCUGGCAAAAAGAAUAAUAAAAGAAUAAUAAAAAUUUCACUUUCACAAAUCUAGAAUCUAGAAUUCUUUUUAAAAUUCAAAGAUAAUAUUAGAAACUUCAAUUAUCACACGUUUCGAAAUUGUAACCAGAAACAGCUUUAACCAAAGAGAGCACACAGAGAUAAAGAGUGUAGUAUGAUUGGCCGAGGUUAAUGAAGUAACCCACGAGAGAGAUAACGUCGCAUAUAUUCCAAGGAUGUCGCAAUUAAGCGAAGAGCGUACAAGUGUUUCGAACAACUGGAACGAAUGUCAGCUGCACACCAACCGGACAUGGAAGCGCCUUCUUCAGAGAGAUUUGCAUAUUGAGCAUUGUACGAGACCAUUCGCUGCUGGGAAAGAGACAUCUCGAACAUGGCACUUGAGGUGCGGCACGUGCGGCAUGGGUCGGCGAAAAGGGUUAGGAGAGAGGUUGGCAGAGGGGAGGAGGAGGGUGGCGGUAGGUCAGCCGACGUUGGAUAACAUCGUGAGAGAAAAUAGCUGAUGUGUACGAGAAAAGUUGCCGGAACAAAAGAGGAGAAUGCACUGGCUACGUGACCGGGUUUUAUGAGUGAACCCAGCAACCUGACUCCUUGUCCCAAUGGUGUUCUUUUGUACUCUUUUGUCGAUGUUCCUUUCCCUGACAUUUAUCGAGAGAUAGAAUUCGAUUUUAGAUAGAAACUUCGAUGGAAAAUUUCCUCUCGUGUAAGUAUAAAUUGAAAACUAGAAAUUUCAUAAGUGGUUAAUAAUUUGUGGAUAUUGCAGACGUGUGGAUGGAAUCGUAAAUAUGAAAGUUUAGUUAUAUUUUUUAAAUUUAAAUGAUUUUCCUUUGUUAUUUAUUCGCAAUUUUUAAAUAAUUAAUAUAGGCUAAAAUGUUUCGAAUAUUUUACAUCAAAAAUUCAAAUUUUUUUUAUUCAUACAUAUGCAACUUUCCCUGAUUUAAUCAAAAUAUUGAUUUCAUUAAAAUAUUAUUAACUAAAGAUUUAUAUUCUUAUUAGUAUCUUAAUUAAUUUUUAAAUAGCAAAUAAUCUUAUUUACCAGAUUUAAAUUAUAUUAAGAAUUCAUUUAUCUCAUCAGAAAUUCAUUCGCUACGCAUGGAAAAGUUGUAAGUUAUAUAUACAUUUAACAUUAUCUAUAAUUAAUGCAGAAAUUAUUAAUUCUAACUUAAUAACAAUGUUGUACAUUUUAUCUACAAAUAAUAUUUAAGUGAGAAUAAUGAAAAUGAAUUUUCGUUAAUGAAAAUAUAAUUUUUAAUAUUUUAGUUUUAAUUUCUGAAAAUUUUAAAUCUAGAAAAUUCUUAAUCAAGAAAGAAAUAGAUAAAAUAUUACAAUCUUAUGUAAUAUUUAUAUACUCAUAAAUAUCUACUUAGUAAAUGAUAAUUAAAUUUUUUUACAUGUCUUUUUUCCAUAUUUCUGAUAUUAAAACUGAAACUAUAUUAUACAUGACUUUUAUAAUAUGAUUACUGCGAUAAUCAAUGUAUAUAGUAUAUACAUAAUUUUAAAUUUAAAUUUACAAUAUAGUAGACAUUUUAUUUCCACAAAAUCUACUUAAGAUUCCCACUUAAUUUCCCAGUGAGAUCUUAUGAACUUAAUAAGCGGACAAGCGGAAAUAACCGUGCCAGAAUCGAUUCCAUAUGUAUUUUGAAAUUUUUAUCGAUUCUUUAACUUUUCGACACUUCUCAAUUAAUUAAUUUCAUUUCAUUAACUUAAUUUCAUUCUUUUUUAUUCUUUCACCACCAAAAUAAUAUAAAUUUCUAUGCAAAUAAUUAAUAAUUCACAUAAACAAAUUCAAUUUAUUUACUUAUUUAUUUUUCGAAAAAAUUCGAAAUAAUUCAAUUUCAUUGAAUUAUUUUCAUUUCGAUCAGAAAAAUCAACAUUCGAAAUGGUAUCAUAAGUUUCUAUGCAAAACAACUCUUUCAAUUUUUCAUAAAUAAUACAUAGAGAGCAUCAGUUAAGCACAAUGUCUAUGCGCUCCGCUGACGCGCGUUAAAAAAAGAGAAAAGAAAGAAGCUUUUUUUUGUUUUCCCUGAGAAAUCUGUCGAGAGAAAGUAUCGCUAUCUGACAAAAACAAUUAACAGCGUUAUCGUUGAAAAUUAUUUUUCGCCUACGACGCAAUCAAGUUUCUGAUGCAAUUAUUACUAGAUGCAAUUUAUGAUUCGCGUUGCACCUUCAUUCUUCUUCGAAUCUACAUCGAAAUUAAUCGCUGGAUAAUUAAUUAAACUGUUACGUGAAACGUAUUGAACAUUGUUCCAGAUUUUGUAUACUGUAUUUCAUAAAUAAUGCUUGUGAUUAAUUUUUUUUUUUUUUCAGUAAAAUGGUUUCGCAAAAUAUCGAUAUCGAUUAACAACAACGAAACACUCGACGUUAAAAUGUUAACCUUUCGCAAUCCUCGACCGCUAUUCCAUCUCAAAAAAUAAAAUCCAAGUCACGUUCGACCUCGCAUCAACGAAAGUGUUGCAUGUACGUGUUACGUUUCAACGAUUUCCGUCGCGACCGGAAAAGGAAAACAUUUUUUUUUUUUUUACCUAUCACUGUUUAUCGCGUUAAAUUAAAUUUUCAAAUUAGAUAAUACUUAAUUUUAUAAUUUGAUUUUACUUUUCAUUUAAUUUAUUUCAUAAUUUGUUUUUAAUGUUAUAGGGGAUAAUUUCAUAUGUAGAAAAAAAUAUUAGUUACAUGAAAAAGUUAUUAUUAAGUUAUAUGAUAUUAAAUAUAUCAUGUAUAAAUAUUUUUUCAAUAAUAAUUUCAUAGUAUAAAAAGAUAUAUAAUAUAAUAGUAUAAUAAUUUCAUAGUAAAAAAAAGAAAAUUACUAGGAAAUAUUUCAACUCAAUUUAUUUGUGAUAAGUGAAAUUAAAAUAUCUAUCAUUUGAUAUUUACUAAAUAUUUUACUAUAUCAAAAUAAAAUUUUACAUAUAAAAAAAAAGUUACUAAGAAAUAUUCCAAUUCAUUCAUUAAUAAAAUUAGAAAUCUAUCGUUUAUACUUUUUUCGAGUUUCCAGUAUUUUUACAAAAAUAAUAUUUAUUAAUAUUUACAUAAAUAUUUUUCAAAUAUAAAAAAAACUACAACAACAUAAUUCAUAAUGAAUUGAAAAAUUAAAAAUUUCUUCCACUUUCCAUUCUCCAAUUUAUCAAUCAUCUAUCAAUUGACCUAUCCUGUGGUUAAUUGUUUCCUUUUUUCGAUCAAUUACACAAUGAAUAAAAGAAAAAAACGGAAUUCGAAUAAAACGAUCCUCGGUCGGAGGUUAAGAUAAAGCCAGGCUCAACUGGAAUCCUAUUAAUAAUUAACCACACGAUCGACGAUAAGGUUAAUUACAAAGGAAUAGCGAUAUGCGUAGGCGUAUUGCGCCGAUAUAAUCGAGUGGAAUGAUCCUCGAGCGCCGGCGGAAAUCGCGGCGGGGUGCUGAAUUAACGAGGGCUUGAAUCCGUGGUAAACCACGCGGCAAAGUACCGCUCCGAUUUUUUUUGUUUCGUUAAGAAAACGAUCCUGAUCUGGAUCUUACUGUGAAUGAAAUGAAGGAAAAUUUGUACAGAGAAAAAGAUUUUUUAUAUGUAUAUAUAUUUUUUCUUGGAUUGUUAAUUUGAUCGAGGAAGCACGAUGCAUAUAUUGAGGAAAUAUUGUUAUUGAUUUUCGUUUUUGGUUGAAAGAAUUCGUUCCUUAAAUUUUUGGAUAGUGAAUUACGAGAAAGAUAGUUUUUAUUCAAAAUUAUCUUCGUCAAAAAUUUAAAGUGAAAAGAAAUAAAUUAGAAAAUAUAGAAAAUAUAUUUUUAUAAAAAUUUUGUAUUUCAAUUUUCUAAUAAUGAAUUUUAUAAUCUAUAAAAAUUUCAGCAAAAAAAUUUCUUAAGAAUUUCUUUAAGAAAAAUAUAAAAAAGUUAAUUAAGUGGAUCAAAAAUAGAUAAAAAAAAUUUUUUGUAAAGUUAUAAACAAAGUAUUGAAAAAUAAACUUAAAGAAUGAAUGAUUAAUAAAUAUUUUUCUCUUUCUUUUAAAAACUUAUUAGAUACUUAUUAGUUUUUCGAGAUAGAUUUAUAUAUUUAGAUUAAUAGAAUUUUAACGUAUAUUAACAGAAUUAAUAACAUAUCAUAUAAUAUUAUCAAAAAAUAUAAAUUAAUUAAAAACAAAUUGAAACUAAUUUUUGAUUAAUAAUCUCAAUUCUAAUAAAAUAUCUAUGCUUAGUAGAUCUUUACCAAUAGUAUUAGAAAAAUCGUAACAAUAUAAUAUCCACAUAGAAGUUACUUUAUAAUGCUCUAUUAAUUUCGAAAAAACUGAAAUAUUAAAGUAACGAAUGCAAAAAAAAAUUAAAAAAGACCAAAAUCUGCGUUAGAACCAAUCACAUUUCUCAUUAAUCGUUCGACAGUAUCGAUCAAUUGGUAAUGGACAACACUUUCACGUGACCUUGGAAACUCGAUCCGCUCGAGUGAAACAGUGAGAGAAACGAUCGACCUUACGUGAUGCAGGUGCGACCCGUGUUUAAUUCAAUUUCUUUGCGGACGUUCCGCCACAAUAUUCCAGCUUCAUGAUCAGUCUGUACCGGUCUGGCCAGAAUGGGACAAACCGCAUGCAACACGCGCGGCCACAUUGAUAUUCCACGCUGAUAAAGACAAUGACCUGAUUUACCGAUCGAUAGGAAAAUUGGUGUCAAUAGCGGCGCCGUGCGCUGCAUCGAACACCGAUAGGAAGUCGAGGUUACAACGGUGAAGCGCGUGGGCGAUCAUUCGCGAAUACGUAAAACUAUUCGUUUAAGGUGCAUUGACUGAUAGGUAAGAAUGUUGUUUUAAUGAUUUUUUUCGACGUAUUAAAAUUUAUUUUAAUAUUGGAUCUAGUAUAUUUGGAUACUUAAAUAUAUUACACAAAGAUGAUUGAAAUUAAAAUAAUAUUUCUAUUUUUAGGAAGAAAAUAAAAAGUAGAAUAUUACAAAGUGAAACUUUUGUUGAUUAAAUAAUGCGGUAAAAUUUUCUCUUAUUAAAAGUUUUUCUAUUGAGAAAAUAACGGAUUUAUUUUGAGAUAUAAUUAAAAAGACCUUAAUCUCGGAUAUAAUCUCGUGUAAUUAACUGAUUCGAUCUCAGAUUAAAGAUUUUUGAUAUUAUUUUCUUAUUAUUCUCGUAGAAAGUUAUCAAUUAAAAAAAAUUCACUGGUCAUUAAUUACACUUUUCAUUUAUCCCAUUCGAUUCAAUUAGAACAUCCAACAGUUUGAAAAUCUAUUGAAUUGGUUUAUUUUCAGAUUUAUCGACGCAAUAAUUGAAAAACCGAUCGCAAUCCAUUCUUGUUUUUUUGACGCUUAUUAUGCAAAUUGCGUUAUUACGGAUUUCCGCUGUAGUUCGAUAUAGGUUAGGAAUAAAUACUUAAUUGACAGAUUAAGAACAGUAUCGUUUCUUUUUGUGACAAUCAUUAUUGCAAAUUCGUAAGAUUCGAUAUUUCUUACUUAUUUUAACGAAUUAUUAAAUAUUUGAUAUUAUUCGAUUUAUUAUUGAUUUUUGGAAUUCUGGAAUAUAUAUUUGUAUUCUUAGAAACUUAUACUAAAGAAUAAUAAAAAAGAAAAUUGAAAUUUUAGAUUUUAAAUGAAUUUAGAAUAUUUACAAACUUUUAAUUAUAAUAUAGAUAAUUUUUUCAAAAUCACAACUAUUAUAAUUAUUUCAAUUUUCUUUAAUAGAUUUUCAUCUUAUUCUAUCAAUCUUUCGAAAACUAAUUAAUUAUUCAUAUCAACAAUUAAUAUAGAGAUAUGAUAUAUUCUCAUUUUAUAUAUAACUAAAUUUUCAUUUUAAUAGGAAUUUAGCAGGAAAUAAACAUACAUUAUCGAAAAAGUUCGAAAUAGCAAAAUCCAAUUUAAUUUCUUUGAAAAAAGAAAAUAUUUAUUCAUUAGAAUCUCGUGCAUUUUAACUUAAAAAAAAUAUAUAAAAAUUCAACAUUUCAUCUCCCUCUUUUUAUUUUUCCCUCGAAUACACGUUUACAGAGAAGAGGCGUGAAAUCGACGCGUGGAGACGAACGAGGAAACCUGUCUUUGCUCGCGGAUAAAUUUCACUUUCACGAAAAAGUGCCGUGGAAAGAGGCGGCCUGGGUAAUCGAUCACGAGGUCCCUUGCGCGUCGUCAACAUUUCCCCUGGAUCCUGACACGAAGUCUGAAACCGGUUUCCAAUUCAACGAGAUCGCUUCUAAUCCAUUACUGAUCGUAAUUUUACGUGAUGGAACUAUCGUUUGGUAAUUUUGUGGCUUUGAAUCGUUGUUGCACACAGCUUCUCUCGAAUAGAUUGAAAUAAAAUUAUUCCUGUUUUCAUUUUUAAGGCUUUAUAAGGCGUUGCUUGUUCGUAAGUAUAACUUAACCUUAUUCGAAGUUAUAGCCUAACCUCAUCGAUUUUUCGAAAUAUUUUUUUUUAUAUUGAAAAGCGAGAAAAGUGAGAAAAGAAAGUAUAUUUGAGAAGUGAAUAAUAUUUAUAUAUAUAGACAUUUUUCAAUAUAAAUUAAAUUGAAAUGUCAAUUCCAAGAAUUUCUAGAGAGAAAGAAUUUCUAUAUAAUUCUACUGGUUCAGUGAAAACAUUCAUUUUUUUAUCUUUUAAUAAAAUUUUAGUAAUUUUUAAUGAAAUUUUAAUGAUUUUUAAUAAAAUUUUAUGAUUAAUACAGAACAUAAUAAUAAGUAAUUUCUUUUUAUUGAAAUAUGUCAUUUUUAAAAGGUGAAAUGAUGCUCAAAGUUUCUAAGAAUUUUCAUUAGUUUAAAUAAAUAAUUUUAUAUUUAUAAAUAUAUCUAAAUAUAUAUAUAUAUUAAAUAAUAUAAUAUAAUUUAAAAUUUUAAAAUGUUCAGAAUUUAGUGUAUUUUCUGUUAAUAAAUAAAAUUGAUAAUUUUAAUUUCACUUCCUGAAAAAAUUUCCUAAGAAAAUUUGGUUCUGUUAUGUUUAUACGUACAUACAAAAUUGUAUUAAAAAAUAAAAAUUUUCGAAUUAAAUGAAUUUCUUUACAAUAUGGUAUUCCAAUAUUUUCACGAGCCAUCAUAUAUAUUGAGAGUAUUCUUGAAAAUUUUCGUUCUCAAAUAUUAACUCACAAGAGUAAUUCUUAUUAAUUUUAUCGUCAAAUGGGAUGUAUAUUUUUAGACUUCGUAUUUCCUCAUUCCUGUGUACAAUCGAUACGUUUACGGUUAAUGUUUUACAUGUUUUCUGUACGUACGUUUAUUACUCGUGAUAAGAGUAGAUUGAUGGAAAUUCGUCGAAAUGAUAUGUUGCUUGCACGCUUGAGGUGAUGUUUGUUUAUCGCAUACUUUGAGAAAAUGACGCUCGAAAGUAGGUAAAUGCAUAGUAGAAAUUGCAGUUGAUGAGAAAUGAAAUUAGCUAAGCCAUCUUUGGUCACAUUGUAUUACCUUACUUGAGAUUAUCGUAUCUUCAAGUCUAUCGUGUGAUGAAGAAUGCAAAUGAGAUGUAAUCGAAACAUGAAAGAAGAGAAUUAUGAAGUAUUGUAGAGUAGAGAAAAGCAUGGCAAUAUACAAUAAAGAAAAGUAAAGCAAAAUAAAAUAAAAUGAGAAGUAAUAAAAUAAGUGUGGAGUGAUAAACAAUAAAUGUAAAAUUAUAUAAAUAUAGAAUGAUAUAAAUAUAGAAUAGAAUGUGUUGUUCAUUUUGUGACUACUUUACAAUUUAUUAAAAUUCAGAAAUUGUAAUAAGUAUUUAGAUAUCGUUAAUGAUGGAUAAGUAGAAAAAAAAUGCAGCUUAAAAAAAAACAAUGAAAUAUAUUCUUUUUUAGAUCGUUCAAAUCUAGUGUCUUGUUUUAAAAAUGCACAAUUUUAUUUUUUAUUUUAUUGUUAAUGUCGAAUUGAUCGUUAUAACUUGAUUCUUGUUAUUACGUAAAGAAUUUAUAUUACAUAACAAACCAUAUAUUUAAAAUUCUUUCUUAUUAUUAUAAUUUCAUUACACAAGUUUCAUAAUAAAUCCGAUAAUUUCAAUAUUCAUUUAAUAAAGAACUUUCAACGUAGAACUUUCAAAGUUUUAGAUAUUGAAACUGCUUAUUAAGUUUUUACACAAAUGCAUAGAUACUAAAGUUCGAACGAUCAAUAUUAAUACAUAAAUUUAAUAUUCUUUAAAAUACAUACAAUUUACUUAGAAACUUUAAUUAAUAAAUUGCUUUAAUAAUUUAUUCAAUGCAAAUAAUUGUAAUUGCUAAACAAUCGAAGUUAUACAAAAAUAUAAAAUUACACGAAGAAUGAAUCAACUAUAUUAAUAGCUAUAUUAUUAUAUAAAUAUUAUUCAAGUAUUUUAAUAAGUUAAAUUAAAUAAAUUACUAAAUAAAAUAAAUUACUUAAAGUAACUUUAUUUGAAAUUUUUAAUAAGUUAUUUUUUCAACGAUUUAAUACCCAAUUAUGAUUCUUUAUUUGUAAAAUGAAUUUUCAAUACUGUGAAUAUUUGGUGAAACUACAAUAGGCCUAUACAGCAUUCAUAUGAUUCAUCUCUGUUUUUGAACGAAAUUCAAAUUCAUGAAACAUAUACCAAUCUUACAGAAAAGUACGAUAAACUUCCUCGACAUCGAUCUAUCACUAUAUUACUUCUCUAACUAUUCUCUUCCGCUUGCAACAAUACGAUCUUUUCGUUGGAUUGAUCCAGAAAGAAACGAGUAUUAUUCAGAACAAUCAUCACCGGUUCAAAGACCCAACCUAUUAGACGAAUUUCAAUGCUGAGAAUUCACGUCUUGUGAGAAAGUGGCGUGACAAUCGAUCGAGCACAGAGUGUAGACCACUUUGUUCCAUCGUUUUCGCUCGAUUUAAGUAUGGCUGAAUUCAAUAAGAUCGAAAUGAACAGUCAUUGCAAAUGCUCAACGAACGUUAAUAACCUCGAGAAUAACCGCGGUUUUUCGAAGAAUAAUUGUAAUUGUUACAAACAAUAAUAUAUAUACGUGGUAUAUUUCAUUAUUGAAUGAAAUAGAAAACGAAUUGGAUAUAAGAUGGAAAGUUAGGUUAAAUUGAAUUAAAACAAUAGCAUUAUGAACGAGCAGAAAAUUCGAAAUUAUUUCCUUUGAACAAUUGAAUAAAUCCUCAUGAUAAAUUGAGGAGAAGUGGAUACAUGUAAAGCUAUGAUAUUUAAACUGAUGAUAAUGAACGGAACUCGAGUUGGCGGCGGCCUAGUUGUCACAUUGAUGACAUUGAUGACACCGAAACCGGGUUAACGCAUACGUGUUAGAAUAUUGCACUUUGCUCUAAUAGACUCAUGGUGUGCAAGCUGAACUUCCAAUCUAUAUAUAAUGCAUAGAGAUAUGUAUCUCGCCAUAAUUAAUAAAAAAUAUAUAUUUCUCUUUUACAUCGUUGAUGAUAGUGAAAGAUAUUGAAAAUUAUUUUUAAGUUAUCAGUUUAUUAAUUUUUUAAAAUUUUGUGUGAAACAUUUUAUUUAAAAAAUUUUUUAAAGAAUUCUAUAAUGUGAUAUUAGUUUCUUGAAAAACGAUAUUUAUUAUGAUUAAUUAAAUACAUGUAUGUAUAACUUAAUUUAUUUUAUUUUUAAAUUAAAUGUAAAAUAUUAAUAUAUAUAUAGUAUAUAAUAUAUAGAAAUAUAUUUUGAUACUGAAAAUUUAAUAAGAAAAAUAAAUAAUGCAUGUCAAAAUUAAUCAUAUGAUAAAUUAAAAUUAAAAUUAAAUGAAAUUGUUAUAAAAUAAGUUUAUGAUAAGAAGUAUUGAUAUAAGAAAAAAUUUAUUAAAAAAUUGAAAAUUGCGAACCAUUUUAACGUAAUAUCAUGAUUGUGUAAAUUGAUUAUCGAGAUCUUGUUUGCUAAUAUCAACUUCAAACAAGAAUAAGUUUGUCAUUGUCAAUAGACUUAUUUGUCAAGCUUUAUUUUGCUUCAAAUAGUGUUAUUAAUAGCUUAACGAUAUUGUCAAGAACUUCGUAAUUAUUCCUAUAUAUACUCUUAUAUUCUAUCGAUAAUCGUUAUAUUUCUAAAUUUACGACGAUUAUUUUACUGGAAUACACUUUGAAAACAUAAAAUUAGAAAAUUUCUCUAAUAAUUUCUAAUUUUAAUUCUAAUAUCUAAUGUUAGAAUAUCCAGGUACAUUAUAUAAGUAUAUUAUAUAUUAAUUAAUAUAUUAUAAUCAAAUUACAAUUUUUCAUGAAUUAUUUAUUUAUAAUAUGAUUUGAUUAUUGUUGUUAAAUGAUAAAAAAUUUUAUUUUCUAUUUAAAAAAAAGAUCCAAGUUUACAUUUUUAUUUCACACAUAUAUAUUUCACAAUAAUCCAAAAUUUAUUUAUUUCUUAUUUUUUAUCGAAAUCCAAACGUGACUUAUAUAUGAAAUAGAAUAUUCUUUUCGAUAUAUUACUUACAUAUAUAUAUUUUUUUUCUUGUCAAUAUAUUUCACAUAAAUAGCAAUACAAAAACUUUUAAAAGUCUAUUCCUUUCUCAUAUCACAAAAUCCUCAAUUAUUCCUUUACUUUACCGUAAACUUGAAUUAGCAUAUGAAAAUACAAUGACUCGAGAAAGAAGAUAAAAGAGAAAAGAAUAAAAACUUACUGCACCUGGACAGAACAAUAUCCUAUUACGAUUCAGAUCUCUUUCUUCUCCGUCUAUGUUUUAACACUGUCGGUAACCACGGUUCUCCUAAUUAUUCGCAGAGCGUGCUUGUGUCAAAAAGAGUCGUUAAAAUUGUGCAUGUCAGCGGCAAACCUUCCACCAUAGAAAAAAGGAAACCGUUGAAUUGCACGUUCGUCUCGCAGGAUCACGCGCGCGUUACCGGCUGGAUACGCGACACAGACUGGAAGUUCCAGUCUGAAAUCUCUAUAUACCCUCUAAAUAUUCAGAAGACGCUGCUUCUGGAAUGUUGCUCUCGUUAUCAGUGAAAGUUGAAAUAUAUAAAUAAGUAUGCGAACAGAGUACCGGUGUCGAACUGUUCGUGGAAUGUCAUGUGAUCGACGAAUAGGUGCUUUAUAAAUAUAGCGUAUAAUCUAGAAUAUUUUUAGAUAUUUUUCUAGAUAUAAUUAAUUUUCUAAUUUUUAUAUGAUUGAAAGUGUAAUAAUUUUAAAUAAAUUCUUAGAGAUUGUGUUAUAUUUAGUUUUAAGUAAACUUUUGAAGAAUUCCAAUAAAAAAUAUUUGUAAUGUUUUAUGAUAAAUUAUGAUUUUUGAAAAUUUGUGUAUAUACAAUAAUUUAAAGUGUUUAGAUAUAAUGAAAUAUUUUUAACAUAUACGUAUGUUAUAAGAUGUUUUUGAUAAAUUAUAAUUUUUAAUUUCAGCGAUUGAAUGUUUAGGAAUUUAUAAUGAAAUAUUUUCGAUACUGCAGAAAUUAUUUACUUUAUUAUAAUUAAAUAAUUAUUGUUUCAAUAAAUAUCACGAUGCAUAUAAUUGCAAAAGUAAUGUUAAUUCCUUUAAUUUUUCAAAUAAAUCUUUACCUAUCUCUAUAUGCAUGAUUCAUAAAAAUAUUUCAUUAUCUUAUCAACAUCACAUUUUUCGAAAUAGAAAAUCUAAUCGUCAGAUUGCAAUAAUAAAAAAAUAAAAAAUAAAUUGGCAAUA